GAUGAACGCUGGCGGUAUGCUUAACACAUGCAAGUCGAACGGACUCUUCGGAGUUAGUGGCGGACGGGUGAGUAACGCGUGAGAAUCUGGCUUUGGGUUCGGGACAACCACUGGAAACGGUGGCUAAUACCGGAUGUGCCGAGAGGUAAAAGAGAAAUUGCCUGAAGAUGAGCUCGCGUCUGAUUAGUUAGUUGGUGAGGUAAAGGCUCACCAAGGCAGCGAUCAGUAGCUGGUCUGAGAGGAUGACCAGCCACACUGGGACUGAGACACGGCCCAGACUCCUACGGGAGGCAGCAGUGGGGAAUUUUCCGCAAUGGGCGAAAGCCUGACGGAGCAAUACCGCGUGAGGGAAGAAGGCUCUUGGGUUGUAAACCUCUUUUCUUAGGGAAGAACAAAAUGACGGUACCUAAGGAAUCAGCAUCGGCUAACUCCGUG
Molecule: ribosomal RNA, 435 nt
Filed under: uncultured bacterium
Lineage: Bacteria
Description: partial 16S ribosomal RNA
Rfam family: Bacterial small subunit ribosomal RNA
Source: RNAcentral